AUCUUUCUAGUAUUAAAUUAGUACCAGUGAUUUCCAAUCACCCAGUCUUGGUUAGAAUCCAAGGAUAGAUA
This 71-nucleotide transfer RNA is filed under the name Labracinus cyclophthalmus (fire-tail devil). RNAcentral describes it as "tRNA-Gly". It matches the Rfam family "tRNA". From Rfam's summary of the family: Transfer RNA (tRNA) molecules are approximately 80 nucleotides in length. Lineage: Eukaryota; Metazoa; Chordata; Actinopteri; Pseudochromidae. The record is from RNAcentral.